GUGGGGAAUUUUGGACAAUGGGCGAAAGCCUGAUCCAGCCAUGCCGCGUGCAGGAUGAAGGCCUUCGGGUUGUAAACUGCUUUUGUACGGAACGAAAAGACUCCUUCUAAUAAAGGGGGUCCAUGACGGUACCGUAAGAAUAAGCACCGGCUAACUACGUGCCAGCAGCCGCGGUAAUACGUAGGGUGCAAGCGUUAAUCGGAAUUACUUGGCGUAAAGCGUGCGCAGGCGGUUAUAUAAGACAGAUGUGAAAUCCCCGGGCUCAACCUGGGAACUGCAUUUGUGACUGUAUAGCUAGAGUACGGUAGAGGGGGAUGGAAUUCCGCGUGUAGCAGUGAAAUGCGUAGAUAUGCGGAGGAACACCGAUGGCGAAGGCAAUCCCCUGGACCUGUACUGACGCUCAUGCACGAAAGCGUGGGGAGCAAACAGGAUUAGAAACCCCAGUAGUCC
This 450-nucleotide ribosomal RNA is filed under the name uncultured bacterium. Its description in RNAcentral is "partial 16S ribosomal RNA". It matches the Rfam family "Bacterial small subunit ribosomal RNA", at positions 354 to 796 of the family's 1533-position model. The record is from RNAcentral.